Mesocricetus auratus (golden hamster) is the source of this 755-nucleotide long non-coding RNA. RefSeq lists it as uncharacterized. The transcript is spliced from 3 exons. NCBI's taxonomy places the organism in Eukaryota, Metazoa, Chordata, Mammalia, Rodentia, Cricetidae. The record is from RefSeq and is a predicted model, not a curated record.
CUUUGGCUCAGGCUUCCAGAGGAUCAGGCACAGCCUGGUGCUGGGCUCUGCUGGUGGCAGUGGCAGCAGGGCCUGAGGCAACUGCUUUCACCAUGGACUCUCCUCACGCUCAAGCUUAUUUAAAUAUGUGUCACCUAGGCUGAUCCUAAAAUUCAUUUCUCUCAAAACCACGAUCCAGGUUCAUCCUACAGAAUGUAGUCUCACUGGUUCAUAUGCCUGCACACGUUCCUGAAAUACUCAGAAAAUGAGUACGGGUUGUAUGCUGGGAGCAGUAUCUCUGCAGGAACUGUCUCUUUCAUCCCUAAUAUCCAUCACCCACCUAGAGAUGCCGAGGAAGGGAUGGAGCCUCCUGAGCCUCUGUGUCCUAGCAACUUUUCAUUGCCUGAACAUCCUCAGGAUUUUUUGUAUGAAUAGAUCCUUGCAAGAUUUCUGGAUUUCAGUUGCAGAGCCUCCUAUUUCCUUUACUUCAACAAGAGAACUGGAUUAUCAGGAACCCCAACAGUAAGGGUGUACCCUACUGGCCUGAGCUGGUUCAUGAUGAUCAGUACCUGAAUCUGGACAUUCAGCCUGCUGUGGCCAAGCCCUGAAGGAUAGAAAGCUGCAGUUCUGUACCAAGACUCUGCCCAGAAGAUCUUCUACCCCAGCACAAGCAUGGAGAGCUCCAGUGCUAGUUCCAGGAAGGGGUGUGUUUUUGAGGGCAGAUGUGGUCAUCCUGAGGUUUCAAAGUCCCUUUAUGUAUUUUUAUUCAUUCCAAC